RNAcentral lists this transfer RNA (75 nucleotides) under Bacteroidales bacterium. Its description in RNAcentral is "tRNA-Ile". It matches the Rfam family "tRNA". From Rfam's summary of the family: Transfer RNA (tRNA) molecules are approximately 80 nucleotides in length. Their secondary structure includes four short double-helical elements and three loops (D, anti-codon, and T loops). The record is from RNAcentral. Lineage: Bacteria; Pseudomonadati; Bacteroidota; Bacteroidia; Bacteroidales.
AGUCCCGUAGCUCAGCUUGGUUAGAGCACUACACUGAUAAUGUAGGGGUCGGCAGUUCAAGUCUGCCCGGGACUA